This 448-nucleotide ribosomal RNA is filed under the name uncultured bacterium. RNAcentral describes it as "partial 16S ribosomal RNA". It matches the Rfam family "Bacterial small subunit ribosomal RNA", at positions 29 to 523 of the family's 1533-position model. The record is from RNAcentral.
AACGAUCGCUGGCGGCAUGCCUAACACAUGCAAGUCGAACGAGAUCUUCGGGUCUAGUGGCGCACGGGUGCGUAACGCGUGGGAAUCUGCCCUUUGGUUCGGAAUAACAGUUGGAAACGACUGCUAAUACCGGAUGAUGACGAAAGUCCAAAGAUUUAUCGCCAGAGGAUGAGCCCGCGUAGGAUUAGCUAGUUGGUGUGGUAAAGGCGCACCAAGGCGACGAUCCUAGCUGGUCUGAGAGGAUGAUCAGCCACACUGGGACUGAGACACGGCCCAGACUCCGACGGGAGGCAGCAGUGGGGAAUAUUGGACAAUGGGCGAAAGCCUGAUCCAGCAAUGCCGCGUGAGUGAUGAAGGCCUUAGGGUUGUAAAGCUCUUUUACCCGGGAUGAUAAUGACAGUACCGGGAGAAUAAGCUCCGGCUAACUCCGUGCCAGCCGCCGCUGUAA